Molecule: ribosomal RNA, 482 nt
Filed under: uncultured Aneurinibacillus sp.
Lineage: Bacteria; Bacillati; Bacillota; Bacilli; Caryophanales; Paenibacillaceae
Description: bacterial SSU rRNA
Rfam family: Bacterial small subunit ribosomal RNA
Source: RNAcentral
GGUGCUAUACUGCAAGUCGAGCGGACCAAUGAAGAGCUUGCUCUUCGGCGGUUAGCGGCGGACGGGUGAGUAACACGUAGGCAACCUGCCUGUACGACUGGGAUAACUCCGGGAAACCGGAGCUAAUACCGGAUACUUCUUUCAGACCGCAUGGUCUGAAAGGGAAAGACCUUUGGUCACGUACAGAUGGGCCUGCGGCGCAUUAGCUAGUUGGUGGGGUAACGGCCUACCAAGGCGACGAUGCGUAGCCGACCUGAGAGGGUGAUCGGCCACACUGGGACUGAGACACGGCCCAGACUCCUACGGGAGGCAGCAGUAGGGAAUCUUCCGCAAUGGACGAAAGUCUGACGGAGCAACGCCGCGUGAACGAUGAAGGUUUUCGGAUCGUAAAGUUCUGUUGUUAGGGAAGAACCGCCGGGAUGACCUCCCGGUCUGACGGUACCUAACGAGAAAGCCCCGGCUAACUACGUGCCAGCAGCCGC